CUUUGUUGCACGUGGUCUCUCAGAACCUCAGGCUGUUGGAAGUUCCAUCAUCUUGUAGCUGCUCCCAGUGGCAAAGAGCAACCAAAGAACUACAUGCCCCAGUGUGUGAUGUUCCCGUCCCUGCGUCCAAGGGUUCUUAUUGUUCAACUACCACUUAUGAGUGAGAACAUGUGGUGUUUGGUUUUCUGCUCCUGUGUUAGUUUGCUGAGAGUGAUGGUUUCCAGCUUCAUCCACGUCCCUGCAAAAGACAUGAAGUCAUUCUUUUUUAUGGCUGCAUAGUAUUCCAUGGUGUAUAUGUGCCACAUUUUGUUUAUCCAGUCUAUCAUUGAUGAGCAUUUGGGUUGGUUCCAUGUCUUUGCUAUAGUGAAUAGUGCUGCAAUAAAGAUGUGUGUGUGCAUGUGUCUUUAUAGUAGAAUGACUUAUAAUCCUUGUUUUUAAGAUAACUAGUUAAUGUAUCUUCUAAGUGUAAGGUGAUGG
RNAcentral lists this long non-coding RNA (477 nucleotides) under Homo sapiens (human). RNAcentral's name for it is "HSALNT0374192". Lineage: Eukaryota; Metazoa; Chordata; Mammalia; Primates; Hominidae. The record is from RNAcentral.